This is a non-coding RNA of Cricetulus griseus (Chinese hamster), 1355 nucleotides long. Lineage: Eukaryota; Metazoa; Chordata; Mammalia; Rodentia; Cricetidae. The record is from RefSeq and is a predicted model, not a curated record.
CCGCAGCCCUGAGUCGCGGACUGGCUCACGAUGCGCUGCUGCGUUGUACGGCCCGGGAGAAACAAACUGGAUUUGAUUCCCAGCAACCACAAGAUGCCUCACAACCAUCAAUAACUCCAUUGUCAAGAAAUCUGACCUCCUCUUGGGACCUCUGCAAGCACCAGGCACAGUCUAUCCACGUACAUAUAAGCCUUUUAAAACAUUGAGGGAAGAGUACGGAAUUCUCAAGACACAUUUCACCCUCUGGAGUUCUCUCAUGAACAACUUACAUUAAGUGGUAUAUUUGUUAUGAUUGAUGGACUCGCAUUGAUACAUUGUUAACUAAAGUUCACAGUUGACAUUAGGGUUUUCUCUGUGCAUAUUCUAUGGUUGGUACCAAUGUGCACUCUUAUGUAGUCUCUGUUUGCAGCAUCACACAGAAAAUUCUCCACGCCUUAAAUAUGCCAUGCUUAGGCGAGAGAGAUGCUUCAGCAGUUAGGAGCCCUUGCUGCACAUGGGUUCUGGAAAUUAGAUCCCAGUACCCAAAUAACAACAUCCUUGAAAAUGCCUAACCCCAGCUCUGAGGGCAGUGGAGACAGGAGGAUUGCUGGGACUUGCAGGCCUCGGGCCUAGCUGAGAAAAAUGUGAGCCCCAGGUUUAAGAAGAGACAAUGCCUAGGUGGGUGGUGGAGGCUCAUGCCUUUAAUCUGCCUGCCUCUGCUUCCCUCCCAAGUACUGGGAUUAAAGACUUAUUUAGGGAGGGAGAUGACUCACACCUUUAACGCCUUCCCAGGGCAGUGUUUGUGGACAUGAAACCCACAGUCACUGAUGAAGUUUUCAGUGGUCCCCACCACCUGCUCUCCCACAAACAAGGAUGUUGCUGCCAGUAACUAUGCCCAUGCCUGUUGUACUGUAGGGAUGUGGUGUUAUCAUAGCCAAAGAUGCUGCUGCUGUCACGGCCACCUUCAAGGCCAAGCACAACAUCCAUUUUGUGGACUGGGGUUCCAUUGGUUUCAAGGCUGGUAUUAUCAUCCUUCCACCGUGGUACCUGGUGGAGGCUUGGCAGAGAACUGAGCACAACAGCACCACUGCUCUCCUAGACCACAAGUUUGACACUUUGACACGAUGUAUGCCAGCUGUGCCUUUUUGCAUUUGUAUAUGGAUGAAGACAUGGAGGAAGGAGGGUUUUCUGAGGCCCUCAAGAAGGGCUAUGAAGGGUGCUAAACGAGAUGAUGAGGGUGACAGCUAACCCACCUGCUGCAAUUUCCCUGUCUCAGAGCUGACUUUGAAUUGGUUGCUGUUCUGUUUUAUGGGACUGUCUGUUAUAAUCCUAAACUAUCAGUAAAGGUGACUUUCCAUUUUUAAUGGCAAAACAAA